AGCUCGGUGGUGCAGUGGCUAGCAUGUGGGGCUCAUAGUAAUAUGUGGCACCCCAAGGUCGACGGAUCGAGACCGUCCUGAGCUA
Malassezia vespertilionis is the source of this 85-nucleotide non-coding RNA. The record is from the annotation of a RefSeq genome assembly. Lineage: Eukaryota; Fungi; Basidiomycota; Malasseziomycetes; Malasseziales; Malasseziaceae.